Molecule: ribosomal RNA, 117 nt
Filed under: Danio rerio (zebrafish)
Lineage: Eukaryota; Metazoa; Chordata; Actinopteri; Cypriniformes; Danionidae
Source: RNAcentral
CCAAAGCCAUAUCACCCUAUACAGCCCAAGAGUGGUUACCCACUGAAGCCAAGCAGGGCUAAGCCUGAUCAGUACCUGGAUGAAAGACCACAAGGAAUAACUAGGUUGCUGAUUGAU